UACGGAGGAUGCAAGCGUUAUCCGGAUUCAUUGGGUUUAAAGGGUGCGUAGGCGGUCUAUUAAGUCAGUGGUGAAAUCCUGCAGCUUAACUGCAGAACUGCCGUUGAUACUGAUAGUCUUGAGUUUGGUUAAGGUAGGCGGAAUGUGUAAUGUAGCGGUGAAAUGCUUAGAUAUGACGCAGAACUCCGAUUGCGAAGGCAGCUUACUGGGAUGCAACUGACGCUGAGGCACGAAAGCGUGGGUAUCAAACA
Molecule: ribosomal RNA, 251 nt
Filed under: uncultured prokaryote
Description: partial 16S ribosomal RNA
Rfam family: Bacterial small subunit ribosomal RNA
Source: RNAcentral